GCUGUGUUUCUUAAUAGGUGUAUUUCUUAAAGAGAGAAAAGCAGAGACUCACCGACAUCCUGGAAUUGUCUUGGCAUCCGAUCUCUUAUACGGCAGCAAGGAAAAAAUAUAUUAUUGCUGUAACAUGUAGGUAAUUAAACCAUGAUAUGUGGAAACACUCCGCGGAUAUCCCAAGAUAUCUCCAUAACUCACAGAAGAUCCUUGAGGCAGCUCAUUUGGCAGCAUAUCCACUCUGAAGUACCGGCUGCGAAUGGUUCUGACCUGCUUCUCUUUAAUCACAGAUGUUUAGGCUGCAGCACAGCACCUGCACGAAUAAGAAAACACUAUUCAGAAACCAUGCAGACUGCUGUUCUCUGUUAACUGCUGAUGCACCUUCUUGGAGAACGUGGUAUUUUUCAUCCCCAGGCAAUAAUACAAGAGCAGAUGGAAUAUUACUCAAUUUUAUUAGGAAUCAAAGACGAUCCAGUCAUUGAAAUUUGCUUUUAAUCACACAGAUGGCAAAGACUGGGUGAAAGGUUUUGCACUGUAUAAAUAUGUUCACUCUUGAGUAGUAAAUUAGCAACAAACUAUAAUCAUAUAUUACAUGGCUGCUGAAUGCAAAUAAAUCAUUUUCCUUUGAGGAAUAUUCCUCUUCCCCGCUCUGCUUUCUCUUUAAGAAAUAUUGCAGAUGAUAUUGCAAUAAAGCAGUUCCCUGAAUUUUAAUAAAAAUUGGCAUUUUUCAAAUGAUCCCCAUAAAUCUUGUCUAAACCUCAUGUCCAGCUGCAUCCAUCUGCAUUAUAUAAAGGACCUUUCAUUCUCUGUGUAUUUGCUCUGAGAGUGAAAAAUCACAGUAUGUUCUGCUAUAUUUAGGCAGAGUCAACAAGCUCUCACAUUAUGGAUAAAGCGGGUCUUUAUCCUUCAUAGUUAAGAACAAAGAACAUUUCUAGCCAAACUGCAACAUGCAACAUAUGAAUUACCGGAGAAAAUUGUUUCAUUAAAAUUAACAGUAAUAGUUUCAUUUAAUACACAAUAUUUCCAGUGAUAUAAGCCUACUGAAAAGCUUUUCUAACCCUGAUAUUACCAUCACAAUAAAGAAAAUAAUGGAAGUUACUGUUGUGGAGAUUACACUAUAUCAUCUCUUUAAAAAACAAAACAAAAAACAAGUUGCUACAAGUUAGCAUGAAAUGAACGCAAAAUACAUGAAAUAAAACACUUUUCUUCUUACUGGUACACUGUAAAAAAAAAAAAAAGUGCUGUUUUUACAGGAAAACGCUGGCAGCUGGGGUUACCACACAGCUGGGAAACUCACAACUGUUAAAUCUACAAAAAAAGAAAAUAAUUUCACACAAUUGUUGUAUAUUCAUAGAAUAUUUCCUGUAUUUUUUUUUUUUUACAUGUAAUAAUUGCUUAUUGGGGAUCCAUAAUUUGUAAAAUUAACAGGGAAAUAUCAAACAAAAAACUCAUUUGAACUGGUAAAACAACUGUGAAACUGUGCAUUUUAAAUGGAGCUGCUCUGUAUAUUAUACAUAAAAUCUAUUACUAUGCUGUAUUUUUAUGUUUUAAUGUAUAA
Long non-coding RNA from Oreochromis niloticus (Nile tilapia), 1549 nucleotides. RefSeq lists it as uncharacterized. The record is from RefSeq and is a predicted model, not a curated record. The transcript has 4 exons. NCBI's taxonomy places the organism in Eukaryota, Metazoa, Chordata, Actinopteri, Cichliformes, Cichlidae.